UAAGCGGAGGAAAAGAAACUACAAGGAUUCCCCUAGUACUGCGAGUGAAGCGGNAAAAGCUCAAAUUUAAAAUCUGGUGGUCUUUGGCCAUCCGAGUUGUAAUCUAGAGAAGCGUCUUCCGCGCUGGNCCGUGCACAAGUCUCCUGGAACGGAGCGUCGUAGAGGGUGAGAAUCCCGUCUUUGGCAUGGACACACCAGGGCUUUUGUGAUGCGCUCUCGAAGAGUCGAGUUGUUUGGGAAUGCAGCUCAAAAUGGGUGGUGAACUCCAUCUAAAGCUAAAUAUUGGCGAGAGACCGAUAGCGAACAAGUACCGUGAGGGAAAGAUGAAAAGCACUUUGGAAAGAGAGUGAAACAGUACGUGAAAUUGUUGAAAGGGAAACGCUUGAAGUCAGUCGCGUCGACCGAGACUCAGCCUCGCCUCGGCUUGGUGUACUUCUCGGCCCGACGGGUCAGCAUCAAUUUCGCCUCUUGGAUAAUGGCGAGGGAAACGUGACACCUUUACGGUGUGUUAUAGUCUCUCGUCGCAUGCAAGGGUCGGGAUUGAGGAACUCAGCACGCGCCUUUGGGCGUCGGGGCUUUGCCUACGAUACGUGCUUAGGAUGUUGGCGUAAUGGCUUUAAACGACC
Molecule: ribosomal RNA, 626 nt
Filed under: uncultured Russulaceae
Lineage: Eukaryota; Fungi; Basidiomycota; Agaricomycetes; Russulales; Russulaceae
Description: LSU rRNA
Rfam family: Eukaryotic large subunit ribosomal RNA
Source: RNAcentral